Molecule: non-coding RNA, 102 nt
Organism: Hyaloscypha variabilis F
Lineage: Eukaryota; Fungi; Ascomycota; Leotiomycetes; Helotiales; Hyaloscyphaceae
Source: the annotation of a GenBank genome assembly
CCCUAGAUGCCAGAGUGGUUAAUGGGUAUGACUCGAAUUAUCUUCGGAUAUACUAGAUAUCAUAUGGUUUCGGCCGCGUAGGUUCAAAUCCUGCUCGCGACG